Molecule: ribosomal RNA, 484 nt
Filed under: uncultured bacterium
Lineage: Bacteria
Description: partial 16S ribosomal RNA
Rfam family: Bacterial small subunit ribosomal RNA
Source: RNAcentral
AUUGAACGCUGGCGGCAGGCCUAACACAUGCAAGUCGAGCGGAUGAAGGGAGCUUGCUCCUGGAUUCAGCGGCGGACGGGUGAGUAAUGCCUAGGAAUCUGCCUGGUAGUGGGGGAUAACGUCCGGAAACGGGCGCUAAUACCGCAUACGUCCUGAGGGAGAAAGUGGGGGAUCUUCGGACCUCACGCUAUCAGAUGAGCCUAGGUCGGAUUAGCUAGUUGGUGGGGUAAAGGCCUACCAAGGCGACGAUCCGUAACUGGUCUGAGAGGAUGAUCAGUCACGCUGGAACUGAGACACGGUCCAGACUCCUACGGGAGGCAGCAGUGGGGAAUAUUAGACAAUGGGCGAAAGCCUGAUCCAGCCAUGCCGCGUGUGUGAAGAAGGUCUUCGGAUUGUAAAGCACUUUAAGUUGGGAGGAAGGGCAGUAGGUUAAUACCUUGCUGUUUUGACGUUACCAACAGAAUAAGCACCGGCUAACUUCGUG